AACGACUCUCGGCAACGGAUAUCUAGGCUCUCGCAUCGAUGAAGAACGUAGCGAAAUGCGACACUUGGUGUGAAUUGCAGAAUCCCGUGAAUCAUCGAGUUUUUGAACGCAAGUUGCGCCUGAAGCCAUUGGCUGAAGGCACGUCUGCCUGGGCGUCACGC
RNAcentral lists this ribosomal RNA (161 nucleotides) under Carapichea ligularis. RNAcentral describes it as "Psychotria ligularis 5.8S ribosomal RNA". It matches the Rfam family "5.8S ribosomal RNA". From Rfam's summary of the family: 5.8S ribosomal RNA (5.8S rRNA) is a component of the large subunit of the eukaryotic ribosome. It is transcribed by RNA polymerase I as part of the 45S precursor that also contains 18S and 28S rRNA. Functionally, it is thought that 5.8S rRNA may be involved in ribosome translocation. The record is from RNAcentral. Lineage: Eukaryota; Viridiplantae; Streptophyta; Magnoliopsida; Gentianales; Rubiaceae.